GGGUGAUUAGCUCAGCUGGGAGAGCACCUCCCUUACAAGGAGGGGUCAUCACCCACCA
Molecule: transfer RNA, 58 nt
Filed under: Escherichia coli
Lineage: Bacteria; Pseudomonadati; Pseudomonadota; Gammaproteobacteria; Enterobacterales; Enterobacteriaceae
Description: tRNA-Val
Rfam family: tRNA
About the family: Transfer RNA (tRNA) molecules are approximately 80 nucleotides in length. Their secondary structure includes four short double-helical elements and three loops (D, anti-codon, and T loops). Further hydrogen bonds mediate the characteristic L-shaped molecular structure. tRNAs have two regions of fundamental functional importance: the anti-codon, which is responsible for specific mRNA codon recognition, and the 3' end, to which the tRNAs corresponding amino acid is attached (by aminoacyl-tRNA synthetases). tRNAs cope with the degeneracy of the genetic code in two manners: having more than one tRNA (with a specific anti-codon) for a particular amino acid; and 'wobble' base-pairing, i.e. permitting non-standard base-pairing at the 3rd anti-codon position.
Source: RNAcentral